GGGUUGUGUUGUGGUUCAGUGGUAAAGCAUCUGCUUACCAUACAGAAGGUCCUAUGUUUGAUCCCCGGCAUGCCCA
Molecule: transfer RNA, 76 nt
Filed under: Sphaerodactylus townsendi
Lineage: Eukaryota; Metazoa; Chordata; Lepidosauria; Squamata; Sphaerodactylidae
Description: tRNA-Gly
Source: RNAcentral